CCCUUAGAUGUUCUGGGCCGCACGCGCGCUACACUGACUGGUGCAACAAGUGUCGCACCUUGGCCGACAGGCCUGGGCAAUCUUUGAACGCCAGUCGUGAUGGGGAUAGAUUCUUGCAAUUUUUGAUCUUCAACGAGGAAUUCCUAGUAAACGCGAGUCAUCAACUCGCAUUGAUUACGUCCCUGCCCUUUGUACACACCGCCCGUCGCACCUACCGAUUGAAUGGUCCGGUGAACCCUCCGGAUUGGCCCGAGCCGACGCAAGUUGCGCAAGGGCCGAGAAGUUGGGUAAACCUUACCAUUUAGAGGAAGGUGAAGUCGUAACA
RNAcentral lists this ribosomal RNA (325 nucleotides) under uncultured eukaryote. RNAcentral's name for it is "partial 18S ribosomal RNA". It matches the Rfam family "Eukaryotic small subunit ribosomal RNA", at positions 1470 to 1796 of the family's 1831-position model. The record is from RNAcentral.